CGCCCUUGAGUUUGAUCAUGGCUCAGGACGAACGCUUGCGGCGUGCCUAAGAAAUGCAGGUCGAGCGGGGGGAGGACUUCGGUUUUCCCCUAGCGCCGAACGGUCGCGUAACACGUAAGCAACCUGCCCCGAAGACCGGGACAACAGUCCGAAAGGACUGCUAAUACCGGAUGUGACCACCGAGAGGUUCUCUUGGUGAUUAAAACAGGAAACUGGCUUCGGGAGGGGCUUGCGGCCUAUCAGCUAGAUGGUGAGGUAACGGCUCACCAUGGCGACGACGGGUAGCUGGUCUGAGAGGAUGGUCAGCCGGACUGGGACUGAGAUACGGCCCAGACUCCUACGGGGGGCAGCAAUUAGGAAUCUUGUACAAUGGGCGCAAGCCUGAUACAGCGAUUUUGUGUGGAGGAGGACGGCCUUCGGGUUGUAAACUCCUUUUGGGAAGGAAGAAACAAAUGACGGUACUUCCCGAAUAAGCCCCGGCUAACUCCGUGCCAGCAGCCGCGGUAC
RNAcentral lists this ribosomal RNA (507 nucleotides) under uncultured Bacillota bacterium. RNAcentral describes it as "bacterial SSU rRNA". It matches the Rfam family "Bacterial small subunit ribosomal RNA", at positions 1 to 523 of the family's 1533-position model. Lineage: Bacteria; Bacillati; Bacillota. The record is from RNAcentral.